UUUACCGGGAAAGGAAAGCUGCGCUCUACGCCGAUAUAUAAUACCCAGGGGUGGACCCAGGAUUUUACAAAGCGGGGUGAUUGAGCAGCACCUGGUGCUGCAUGGGUGGCUGGACCCCCACUCCCAGCCCCUCCCAUGAUCCCCCUCAACUAGGGCAGGCAGACUGCACCACAGGAGCAAACCCCAAAGAAGGUUAAAAACAUGCAUGGGGACACACGUAGAAGACAUGCGGUCUUCGUUCUUAGAGACAGCGUGCCCCACUUGGAGUGGGCUUUCAUCCUAGAAGCUGGACCCACUGAGUGAAAACACCACAAACUCAAACCAAAAGGUAUAUUACUUUUGCUAUAUCCACAAUGAAUGAUAAAGCAUUUUAGAAUGUGGAGAAUGAAUUUACUACUGCUUCGUCUUAUCAACGCAAAUGUUGCCUUUGCUCUUCAGCCGAAUGAAACGCCAGCUCCUGAAGAAAGCCCCAGAAGGAGGGCCAUGGAGCUGACAGAAAGACAACCAAGUAAGGUUCGGGCCAUUGAUAUUGACACUGCUCGCCCCAAUUUUUCCUGAUACUUAUUUCAUCAAGCGGUAACCUCCAUGAGAAGAGAAGGAGCAGAUUGCCCUGCAAAGCUGAGCGCCCAGGUGCUGUUUGCUCUCAAAACCAGAGACUGAUUUUUGCAGCUUGGCAGCGGUUGAAAACUGUGCCAGGGACCAUACGAGGGGGUGAACGGAGCAGUCAAACGGAAGGUCUUUAGCACUCGCAGCCUGCAGCACACAGCUUGGAAAACCUCCUGGAGGGCCUGGCUUCUGUUUGUGAGUGUGCGUCUCCAAGCGAACGACAGCCCCAGACGUGAGUCACUUGCAUCUCGAACAAAAGACAGGGAUUCAGAGCCCGUCGCCUUCCGAGGCUUUAUCACUCUGUUGUUUCUUGACUUGCUUGAGCUGAACAAGGUCAUGCAAAGCCCCCAGCUGAACAAACACACAGCACUAGAGGCAAGAGAAGGUCUAUUUUGUGUGGGCCCCGGAGGAAUUAAGAACAAAAUCUCAAGGGAAAAGUUUGAAGUACAAUUACUCCGCUCCCCACUUACAAUGGAAACAUGACACAGGUUGUUGGGUUUUUUUAAUGGCUUGCGCAUGUGUUCACAUCCUUCAGAUUGUAAUGAUUUUUGUCUUUACAUGCAGAAGAGGUUAACUGCUGUUCAAUCUUGCGUUAGCCUGCAGUAACCUUGGCAUUUAAAAGAAAAUAAUAGCUUCCAACAGCAUUUGUGAUGGUUCAUCCAUUAGGAGGGAAUGAAGGGCUUCAGCCUGUAAAACACUUUAUCUACUCUGUGCUUUCUGUGCCUUGAGCGCUUGUGACAGAAAAUUACAUAUAUGCAAGCACCCAGCCCUCUUUUCAUGAUUACAACCAAUAUGUUUCUGUUUUGAUAUUAGCUGCCUGGGUUCUGUGCAUUGUUUUUGUGAGCUGUGCAGAAGAAAUACAAAUGCAUUGUAAAAAAAAAAGGGAGGUGGGGAGGAGGGAAGCAGGAAUCCACCUAUUUUUUUUGUAAUGAAGUCCCAGAAAGAAAUUUAAAUUGCACAUUACGGAUUGUUCCCCUUUGUAAUUACUAUAUGCAAUCUCCCUUUAGUUGGGCACCAAUGUGUCACCCACUGGUUGGAGCUGUGUGCAUGUUCCAUACAGGAUUUAUACAUUUGUAAUGGGAUGAAGUAGAAUCACAGAUGGCAACAAAUAGAAUAGUGUGUGCACUACACACACACACAUGCACAUAUGCACGCGCGUGCGCAACAUCAGAUAUUGUUGGUACAGAAGAAUAGCAAUAUGUAGUCUAUGAUCUAUCAUAGACAGACUAUGGUUUGUUGGGGGGCGGAGGUUAGAGAUGCUGU
Alligator sinensis (Chinese alligator) is the source of this 1869-nucleotide long non-coding RNA. RefSeq lists it as uncharacterized. The transcript has 4 exons. NCBI's taxonomy places the organism in Eukaryota, Metazoa, Chordata, Crocodylia, Alligatoridae. The record is from RefSeq and is a predicted model, not a curated record.